RNAcentral lists this transfer RNA (76 nucleotides) under Erysipelotrichaceae bacterium. Its description in RNAcentral is "tRNA-Lys". It matches the Rfam family "tRNA". From Rfam's summary of the family: Transfer RNA (tRNA) molecules are approximately 80 nucleotides in length. Their secondary structure includes four short double-helical elements and three loops (D, anti-codon, and T loops). Further hydrogen bonds mediate the characteristic L-shaped molecular structure. tRNAs have two regions of fundamental functional importance: the anti-codon, which is responsible for specific mRNA codon recognition, and the 3' end, to which the tRNAs corresponding amino acid is attached (by aminoacyl-tRNA synthetases). tRNAs cope with the degeneracy of the genetic code in two manners: having more than one tRNA (with a specific anti-codon) for a particular amino acid; and 'wobble' base-pairing, i.e. permitting non-standard base-pairing at the 3rd anti-codon position. The record is from RNAcentral. Lineage: Bacteria; Bacillati; Bacillota; Erysipelotrichia; Erysipelotrichales; Erysipelotrichaceae.
GCUUGAAUAGCUCAGAUGGUAGAGCAACUGACUCUUAAUCAGUGGGUCUAGGGUUCGAGUCCCUAUUCGAGCACCA